Molecule: non-coding RNA, 76 nt
Organism: Myotis davidii
Lineage: Eukaryota; Metazoa; Chordata; Mammalia; Chiroptera; Vespertilionidae
Source: Rfam
GUGACACCCCUAUGGAGCAGGGCUUGCUUCAGUGGGGCUUUGAUGCUGACUGAGUCUGCCCCUCGAGUGUGUCACU